Molecule: ribosomal RNA, 447 nt
Filed under: TM7 phylum sp. oral taxon 347
Lineage: Bacteria; Candidatus Saccharimonadota
Description: bacterial SSU rRNA
Rfam family: Bacterial small subunit ribosomal RNA
Source: RNAcentral
GAUGAACGCUGGCGGCGUGCCUAACACAUGCAAGUCGAGCGGCAGCGCGAGUAGUUUACUACUUGGCGGCGAGCGGCGGACGGCUGAGUAACGCGUGGGAACAUACCCCAAAGUGAGGGAUAACUGCCCGAAAGGGUAGCUAAUACCGCAUAUGAUCUUCGGAUUAAAGGAUUUAUCCGCUUUGGGAGUGGCCCGCGUCGGAUUAGGUAGUUGGUGAGGUAAAGGCUCACCAAGCCGACGAUCCGUAGCUGGUCUGAGAGGAUGAUCAGCCAGACUGGGACUGAGACACGGCCCAGACUCCUACGGGAGGCAGCAGUGAGGAAUCUUCCACAAUGGGCGAAAGCCUGAUGGAGCAACGCCGCGUGCAGGAUGAAGGCCUUCGGGUUGUAAACUGCUUUUAUAAGUGAGGAAUAUGACGGUAACUUAUGAAUAAGGAUCGGCUAAUAC